AUCGUUAUGUUUUGACAGAAUGAAAUGAAAAAAAGCCGUCAAACUCAUAAUUAUAAGUUGGAUAUUUAUUUUUUUGUGUACGGAACUAAUAUAAAAUAACAUUAUCUGGUGAGACUAUUACCUCACAGUGAGGUUUAUAGAACGAAACAUGUACCACUGCUAUCCGAAAGGGGGCCAAAGGAGACAACUUUAUGUAUGACCUCAUUGACAAGGUGUUCACCAUUACCAAACUGGCGAACUCCAUGGGGAACUGGUAUUGGGACACUUCGCCCUGGAGAGGCAAAAAAGCAUAUGCUUGGCUACUGGCAAUAGAGUAUGUGAUAUGACGGAAAAUGCUGCCAUGACGUUCCCUGGAGUAGAUUUAAAUCUGGCCAAUACUAAGAGCAACACGUAUGCGCGAUAACAGUUGACAAAUACUGGAUUGAUGAACAAUAAGGAAGUAUUCAUUCUACUGUGAAGUGUACGUACUAGUGACUGGAAUUAUAUUUUAUAGCCAAAAUGAUAAUUUAACUUUUAUCAUUAUGCGUAUUUAUAUUUGAAAUGCAGAAUAA
Mya arenaria is the source of this 551-nucleotide long non-coding RNA. RefSeq lists it as uncharacterized. The record is from RefSeq and is a predicted model, not a curated record. The transcript has 3 exons. NCBI's taxonomy places the organism in Eukaryota, Metazoa, Mollusca, Bivalvia, Myida, Myidae.